UGUAAACAUCCCACACUCUCCGCUGUGCAAAGCCAGAAAGCCGAGAGAAGGCUGUUUACUCU
Molecule: microRNA precursor, 62 nt
Filed under: Echinops telfairi (small Madagascar hedgehog)
Lineage: Eukaryota; Metazoa; Chordata; Mammalia; Afrosoricida; Tenrecidae
Description: Ete-Mir-30-P2b_pre stem-loop
Rfam family: mir-30 microRNA precursor family
About the family: This family consists of the mammalian microRNA (miRNA) precursor mir-30a. Animal miRNAs are transcribed as ~70nt precursors and subsequently processed by the Dicer enzyme to give a ~22nt product.
Source: RNAcentral